AGAUAGAAUAUUUUCUCCUGAAUGUGCUUGAUCUCAUCUGAUCUGAUCUUGUAAAGCUAAGCAGGGUGGGCCUAGUUAGUGCUUGGAUGGGAGACCACCUUGGAAUACUGGGUGCUGUAGGCU
Non-coding RNA from Pongo abelii (Sumatran orangutan), 123 nucleotides. The record is from Rfam. NCBI's taxonomy places the organism in Eukaryota, Metazoa, Chordata, Mammalia, Primates, Hominidae.